ACUCCUGCGGGAGGCAGCAGUGGGGAAUAUUGGACAAUGGGCGCAAGCCUGAUCCAGCCAUGCCGCGUGAGUGAUGAAGGCCCUAGGGUUGUAAAGCUCUUUCACCGGUGAAGAUAAUGACGGUAACCGGAGAAGAAGCCCCGGCUAACUUCGUGCCAGCAGCCGCGGUAAUACGAAGGGGGCUAGCGUUGUUCGGAUUUACUGGGCGUAAAGCGCACGUAGGCGGACUAUUAAGUCAGGGGUGAAAUCCCGGGGCUCAACCCCGGAACUGCCUUUGAUACUGGUAGUCUUGAGUUCGAGAGAGGUGAGUGGAAUUCCGAGUGUAGAGGUGAAAUUCGUAGAUAUUCGGAGGAACACCAGUGGCGAAGGCGGCUCACUGGCUCGAUACUGACGCUGAGGUGCGAAAGCGUGGGGAGCAAACAGGAUUAGAUACCCGGGUAGUCCC
RNAcentral lists this ribosomal RNA (445 nucleotides) under uncultured organism. RNAcentral describes it as "partial 16S ribosomal RNA". It matches the Rfam family "Bacterial small subunit ribosomal RNA", at positions 335 to 797 of the family's 1533-position model. The record is from RNAcentral.